GGAUAUGAAGGCAGUCUGGCUGUGACAUGCAUGCGUCCCCACUGGUCUCUAGGGUUGACUCUGUAGCUCUGGCUAGCUAGGCAAUGUCCUCUUCUUCCCUCCAUCUCCAUGUCAGUCCUGAAGCUUGUACACCCUCUGUGUGGAAGACGAAUAUGCUCCCCAAUAGGGGAGGACAAAGGUACAGAGAAGUUGCAUUCCCUGCCAGAACCACCAAACAAGUUCUCAAGAAAGGAACUCUAAGGACUGGGAGUACAGCUCAACGGCAGA
Fukomys damarensis (Damara mole-rat) is the source of this 267-nucleotide non-coding RNA. Lineage: Eukaryota; Metazoa; Chordata; Mammalia; Rodentia; Bathyergidae. The record is from Rfam.